GCACAGACCGCGGGUGCUACACAUGCAGUCGACGAGACGGGAUAGCUUGCUAAUCUGUCAGCUAAGUGGCGCACGGGUGAGUAAUAUAUAGGUAAUGUGCCCCUUACAAAGGAAUAACAGAUGGAAACGUCUGCUAAUGCCUUAUAUGCCUUGAGUACAUAAGUAUGAAAGGGAAAGUUUUUCGGUAAGGGAUCGGCCUGUACGGUAUCAGCUUGUUGGUGAGGUAAUGGCUCACCAAGGCAAUGACGCCUAACUGGUUUGAGAGGAUGAUCAGUCACACUGGAACUGAGACACGGUCCAGACUCCUACGGGAGGCAGCAGUGGGGAAUAUUGCACAAUGGACGAAAGUCUGAUGCAGCAACGCCGCGUGGAGGAUGACACAUUUCGGUGCGUAAACUCCUUUUAUAUAGGAAGAAAAUGACGGUACUAUAUGAAUAAGCGCCGGCUAACUCCGUGCCAGCAGCCGCGGUAAUACGGAGGGCGCAAGCGUUACUCGGAAUCACUGGGCGUAAAGAGCGUGUAGGCGGAUUAAAAAGUCAGAAGUGAAAUCCUAUGGCUCAACCAUAGAACUGCUUCUGAAACUCUUAAUCUAGAAUAUGGGAGAGGUAGAUGGAAUUUCUGGUGUAGGGGUAAAAUCCGUAGAGAUCAGAAGGAAUACCGAUUGCGAAGGCGAUCUACUGGAACAUUAUUGACGCUGAGACGCGAAAGCGUGGGGAGCAAACAGGAUUAGAUACCCUGGUAGUCCAAGCCCUAAACGAUGUACAUAAGUUGUUGUGAGGCUAG
Molecule: ribosomal RNA, 783 nt
Filed under: uncultured Arcobacter sp.
Lineage: Bacteria; Pseudomonadati; Campylobacterota; Epsilonproteobacteria; Campylobacterales; Arcobacteraceae
Description: bacterial SSU rRNA
Rfam family: Bacterial small subunit ribosomal RNA
Source: RNAcentral